GACGAACGCUGGCGGCGUGCCUAAUACAUGCAAGUUGAGCGCUGAAGGUUGGUACUUGUCCCAACUGGAUGAGCAGCGAACGGGUGAGUAACGCGUGGGGAAUCUGCCUUUGAGCGGGGGACAACAUUUGGAAACGAAUGCUAAUACCGCAUAAAAACUUUAAACACAAGUCUUAAGUUUGAAAGAUGCAAUUGCAUCACUCAAAGAUGAUCCCGCGUUGUAUUAGCUAGUUGGUGAGGUAAAGGCUCACCAAGGCGAUGAUACAUAGCCGACCUGAGAGGGGGAUCGGCCACAUUGGGACUGAGACACGGCCCAAACUCCUACGGGAGGCAGCAGUAGGGAAUCUUCGGCAAGGGACGAAAGUCUGACCGAGCAACGCCGCGUGAGUGAAGAAGGGUUUCGGAUCGUAAAACUCUGUUGGUAGAGAAGAACGUUGGCGAGAGUGGAAAGCUCAUCAAGUGACGGUAACUACCCAGAAAGGGACGGCUAACUACGUG
This 497-nucleotide ribosomal RNA is filed under the name uncultured bacterium. RNAcentral describes it as "partial 16S ribosomal RNA". It matches the Rfam family "Bacterial small subunit ribosomal RNA", at positions 28 to 507 of the family's 1533-position model. The record is from RNAcentral.